CCCAGACUCCUACGGGAGGCAGCAGUGGGGAAUAUUGCACAAUGGGGGAAACCCUGAUGCAGCAACGCCGCGUGAGUGAGGAAGUAUUUCGGUAUGUAAAGCUCUAUCAGCAGGGAAUAGAAAAGAAGGCACCUGAAAAAGAAGCCCCGGCUAACUACGUGCCAGCAGCCGCGGUAAUACGUAGGGGGCAAGCGUUAUCCGGAUUUACUGGGUGUAAAGGGGGCGCAGACGGCAGCGCAAGCCAGGAGUGAAAGCCCGGGGCCCAACCCCGGGACUGCUCUUGGAACUGCGCGGCUGGAGUGCAGGAGGGGCAGGCGGAAUUCCUGGUGUAGCGGUGAAAUGCGUAGAUAUCAGGAGGAACACCGGUGGCGAAGGCGGCCUGCUGGACUGCGACUGACGUUGAGGCCCGAAAGCGUGGGGAGCAAACAGGAUUAGAUACCCUUGUAUA
This 448-nucleotide ribosomal RNA is filed under the name uncultured bacterium. Its description in RNAcentral is "partial 16S ribosomal RNA". It matches the Rfam family "Bacterial small subunit ribosomal RNA", at positions 330 to 794 of the family's 1533-position model. The record is from RNAcentral.